AUUGCCGGGUAGCUAAAUGCGGAAGAGAUAAGUGCUGAAAGCAUCUAAGCACGAAACUUGCCAAGAGAUGAGUCAUCCCUGACUUUAAGUCAGUAAGGGUUGUUGUAGACUACGACGUAGAUAGGUCAGGUGUGUAAGUGUAGUGAUACAUUGAGCUAACAGAUACUAAUUGCCCGAGAGGCUUAACUAUACAACGCUCAAG
This 202-nucleotide ribosomal RNA is filed under the name Haemophilus influenzae. Its description in RNAcentral is "partial 23S ribosomal RNA". It matches the Rfam family "Bacterial large subunit ribosomal RNA", at positions 2737 to 2925 of the family's 2925-position model. The record is from RNAcentral. Lineage: Bacteria; Pseudomonadati; Pseudomonadota; Gammaproteobacteria; Pasteurellales; Pasteurellaceae.